This is a long non-coding RNA of Haliotis rubra (blacklip abalone), 653 nucleotides long. RefSeq lists it as uncharacterized. The record is from RefSeq and is a predicted model, not a curated record. Lineage: Eukaryota; Metazoa; Mollusca; Gastropoda; Lepetellida; Haliotidae. The transcript is spliced from 4 exons.
AUCUGCAUGAAGAGGCGAUCCAAGGAAAAAGUCAUCACGAUGAAAGCGUCGAGAAGAACAGAGACAUACCACUGACUGAAAUCCCGGGAGGGACCACGCUUAUCUACAAACAGAUGUGAUUGUGUGGAUCUUACUUCUGACACCGAUUGUCAACAGACGCAACUGUGUACUCACUUGAUUCCAUACAACUAUAGUUCCAUGUUUGAUAACGUUCAGCUGCUCACAUUUCACGCAUUACACAGUUACAUGUGUUGUAUUUGGAAUUAGCCAUCUAACCCACUCAGCCAACGAGGCUUCCACAAUAAACAUUUGCCAGGGGGGUACACAAAGUAUGGGAUCUAGACUACCAAGUGUCCGGCUUUCAGUUUAGUGGAAGUCGCUGUGGCAGAGUGGGUCAGGUGCCUGACUUAGAGUGUUGGUGCGAAUCCCACUGACCACAUCUGACCACUUUCUAAAUGAUCUUGUGAAUUCACCCAUUACACAGUUGCAGACUCAGCUCAGAGAUGUGUUGUCUCUGAUGAUAACUGUUUCAUUGUAAUGAAUCCUGUCUAAAGAGUCUAUAUUAUUUUAUUUGAAUCAAAGGCGGUGGGGUAGCCUAGUGGUUAAAGCGUUGGCUCGUCACGCCGAAGACCCGGGUUCGAUUCCCCACAUGG